UUACAUCAGCAGUCAUCUCCGUGAUAGAGUGUGGCUAUGGCCUCACGCCGGCUCUCAGCCCAGGCAAAGGGGCUCGCUUGGACAUCCUCCAAAACCUAGUGGCUAAUACACGGUCGAACAGCGUCUGCCACGUCCGUGGCGCCUCGUCGUGGCAUCCCCACGCGAGGCCCCGGUGGUGGAUCGCGCCCAGCCGCUGAGAAGACCAGCGCCUGGAAAUGGCAGUGUGUGGAAGCUGACUCAGGCUGGUCCUCCGGGACCGCCGCGCUGGCAGAGUGGUGGCCUCCUCGGUCACAGCAUUGCUUGAUCACACGAACUUCUGACCUAUCAGCCUCGACUGUGGUGUCGUGGACCACAGUGGCAGUGACGGGUGACGGAGAAUCAGGGUUCGAUUCCGGAGAGGGAGCCUGAGAUACGGCUACCACUACCAAGGUGGGCAGCAGGCACGCAAAUUGCCCAAUGCGAAGACCUCCCCGCGAGGCAGCGACGAACUGCAGCAAUCCCGGUUGCCUUCACGGCGAUUGGGACUUGGAAUGGAUGCUAUCCAAACACAGUGAUGAGUAUCAACUGGAGGGCAAGUCUGGUGCCAGCAGCUGCGGUAAUUCCAGCUCCAAGCGUGUAUACUAACAUUGCUGCUGUUAAAACACUUGUAGUCUGAUGCUGGGCUCAGGUCUGCCAGGCGGCCGAUGUUGGGGUGCGUUCAUGCCCGGGACUCCGGUCUCGUGGUGGGUUCGAGCUCCUCUCGGAACCAAACCCCUGGUAGAAUGCUCCUGUGCCCGUGUCAACGAUGGUGCGAUCUGCUCCUGCUCCAAGUCUCCUUCAGUGGGGAUCGAUGCGGGCUCAUGCCCAACGCUCGUGUGCUGACAAUCGGGGACGUCGCUCCGCGCGGCGCUCUUCCCCUGUCCACCACCGGAGUCCACCAUCUGAGACACCGUGGAAAACUCAGUGUGCUCCAAGCGUCCACUCGGCUGGAUGCCCGUCCAUGGAAUGUCAAAGCAUCGACCUGAUGUGGCUGUGAAGUUGUGCUGGCCUUGGUGCCCAAUCAGGGGAACCUGGUUGCGCCUCCCCUGGCGUGUCUCUGGGCGACCUCCCGGCGAGGAAACCCAGCCGCCAGCGGGCUCGGCGUCGCCAUGCGACCUCGAUGGGACAGCUCUGGGUGAAGGAUACCACGGCGCCAGAGGUGAAAUUCUUAGACCGCUGUGAGAUCAACGGCAGCGAAGGCGCUCUGCAAGUGCUUGUUCGUCGAUCAAGAAUGAGAGUGUGGGGAGCGAAGAUGAUCAGACACCGUCGUAGUCCACAACUGUGAACGAUGCCGGCCCGGUGCUGGAGGUGAAAUGUCUCCGAGACUCCUCCAGCGCCACUCCCCCUACAACGAGAAAUCCGAGCCUUCGGGUUCAGGGGGGAGUACGGUCGCAAGGCUGAAACUUAAAGGAAUUGACGGAAUGGCACCACCAGGCGUGGAGUAUGCGGCUUAAUUUGACUCAACACGGGGAAUGUUACCAGGUCAGGACGAUGUCCGGAUGGACAGAUUGAGAGCUCUUUCCUGAUCCCUCGGAUGGUGGUGCAUGGCCGCUCCUGAUUGGUGGAGUGAUUUGUCUGGUUGAUUCCGAUAACGAGUGAGAUCUCUGCCUCCCAGUAGCCUCAGCCUCGCUUGUAGGGCGGACUCGGCUCGGGUCUUCGGAUCCUGCCGCAGUUGCCCGAGAGGACUGGGCCAAGCUUCUCUGAGGUGCUGUGCGCGCUACCAAGCGCAUGCAUGCUAGAGCCAACAGCAGGUCUGUGAUGCUCCCAGAUGUCCUGGGCCGCACGCGCACUACAUUGGCCUGGCGAGAAGGUCGCCUCCCCCCGCUCUCGCGGGUCCUGCCCCGAAGAGGAUGGGAAAUCCUCCGAGCCCAGCCCGUACUGGGGAUAGAUGCUUGCAACUGUCUGCCUUGAACGAGGAAUGCCUAGUAUGCGUGGGUCAUCAGCCCACACCGAUUGCGUCCCUGCCACUUGUAC
RNAcentral lists this ribosomal RNA (1992 nucleotides) under Phacus hamatus. Its description in RNAcentral is "SSU rRNA". It matches the Rfam family "Eukaryotic small subunit ribosomal RNA", at positions 101 to 1665 of the family's 1831-position model. Lineage: Eukaryota; Euglenozoa; Euglenophyceae; Euglenales; Phacaceae. The record is from RNAcentral.